This 276-nucleotide ribosomal RNA is filed under the name Rhizophagus intraradices. The record is from RNAcentral. Lineage: Eukaryota; Fungi; Glomeromycota; Glomeromycetes; Glomerales; Glomeraceae.
CAGACGUGCGCUGUGCAAUUCAGCUCUGGUUCUCCAGAGUGUAUUUUGUACUAUUGCAGGCCAACAUCGGUUUUGCGAGUCGGAUAAAGGUUUGAGGAAUGUGGCACCUUCGGGUGUGUUAUAGCCUCUUGCUGAAUACGGAUUGCGAGACCGAGGGACGCAGCGCGCCGUAAGGCAAAAGCUUCGGCUUUUUCGCGCUUAGGAUGUUGGUGAAAUGGCUUUAAACGACCCGUUCUUGAAACACGGACCAAGGAGUCUAACAUAUAUGCGAGUGUU